This 72-nucleotide transfer RNA is filed under the name Camelus bactrianus (Bactrian camel). It matches the Rfam family "tRNA". From Rfam's summary of the family: Transfer RNA (tRNA) molecules are approximately 80 nucleotides in length. Their secondary structure includes four short double-helical elements and three loops (D, anti-codon, and T loops). Lineage: Eukaryota; Metazoa; Chordata; Mammalia; Artiodactyla; Camelidae. RNAcentral also lists the same sequence under 3 other names. The record is from Rfam by way of RNAcentral.
GAGAGUAUAGCUCAGUGGUAGAGUGAGUGCUUAGCAUACACGAGGUCCUGGGUUCAAUCCCCAGCACCUCCA